GGGUCGUUAGCUCAGUUGGUAGAGCAGUUGACUUUUAAUCAAUUGGUCGCAGGUUCGAAUCCUGCACGACCCACUA
RNAcentral lists this transfer RNA (76 nucleotides) under Escherichia coli. RNAcentral's name for it is "tRNA-Lys". It matches the Rfam family "tRNA". Rfam says of the family: Transfer RNA (tRNA) molecules are approximately 80 nucleotides in length. Their secondary structure includes four short double-helical elements and three loops (D, anti-codon, and T loops). Lineage: Bacteria; Pseudomonadati; Pseudomonadota; Gammaproteobacteria; Enterobacterales; Enterobacteriaceae. RNAcentral also lists the same sequence under 18 other names. The record is from RNAcentral.